This is an unclassified non-coding RNA of Papio anubis (olive baboon), 147 nucleotides long. It matches the Rfam family "Metazoan signal recognition particle RNA". From Rfam's summary of the family: The signal recognition particle (SRP) is a universally conserved ribonucleoprotein. It is involved in the co-translational targeting of proteins to membranes. Lineage: Eukaryota; Metazoa; Chordata; Mammalia; Primates; Cercopithecidae. The record is from Ensembl.
GCUGGGUGUGGUGGUGCACACUUGUAGUCCCAGCUACUUGGGAAGCUGAGGCAGGAGGAUCACUUGAGUCCAGGAAGUUGAGCUGCAGUGAGGUGUGAUUGUGCCACUGCACUCCAGCCUGGGUGACAGAGUGAAACCCCGUCUCUA